GAAAAGAAACCAACAGGGAUUGCCCUAGUAACGGCGAGUGAAGCGGCAACAGCUCAAAUUUGAAAUCUGGCUUCGGCCCGAGUUGUAAUUUGCAGAGGAUGUUUCUGGCGCGGUGCCUUCCGAGUUCCCUGGAACGGGACGCCACAGAGGGUGAGAGCCCCGUAUGGUUGGACACCAAGCCUGUGUGAAACUCCUUCGACGAGUCGAGUAGUUUGGGAAUGCUGCUCAAAAUGGGAGGUAAAUCUCUUCUAAAGCUAAAUACCGGCCAGAGACCGAUAGCGCACAAGUAGAGUGAUCGAAAGAUGAAAAGCACCUUGAAAAGGGGGUUAAACAGUACGUGAAAUUGUUGAAAGGGAAGCGCUUGUGACCAGACUUGCGCCGGGCGGUUCAUCCGGGGUUCUCCCCGGUGCACUCCGCCCGGCUCAGGCCAGCAUCGGUUCUCGUUGGGGGAUAAGAACGGCAGGAACGUGGCCCUCCUUCGGGUGGGUGUUAUAGCCUGCCGUACGAUACCCUGACGGGGACCGAGGUUCGCGCUCCGCAAGGAUGCUGGCGUAAUGGUCAUCAGCGACCCGUCUUGAAACACGGACCAAGGAGUCGUCCAUUAGAGCGAGCGUUUGGGUGUCAAACCCGCACGCGUAAUGAAAGUGAAAUUAGGUGAGAGCUUCGGCGCAUCAUCGACCGAUCCUGAUGUUCUCGGAUGGAUUUGAGUAAGAGUUUUAACGGACGGACCCGAAAGACAGUGAACUAUGCUUGUAUAGGGUGAAGCCAGAGGAAACUCUGGUGGAGGCUCGCAGCGGUUCUGACGUGCAAAUCGAUCGUCAAAUAUGAGCAUGGGGGCGAAAGACUAAUCGAACUGUCUAGUAGCUGGUUACCGCCGAAGUUUCCCUCAGGAUAGCAGUGUUGACCUUCAGUUUUAUGAGGUAAAGCGAAUGAUUAGGGACUCGGGGGCGCUUUUUAGCCUUCAUCCAUUCUCAAACUUUAAAUAUGUAAGAAGCCCUUGUUACUUAGUUGAACGUGGGCAUUCGAAUGUAUCAACACUAGUGGGCCAUUUUUGGUAAGCAGAACUGGCGAUGCGGGAUGAACCGAACGCGGGGUUAAGGCGCCAGAGUGUACGCUCAUCAGACACCACAAAAGGCGUUAGUACAUCUUGACAGCAGGACGGUGGCCAUGGAAGUCGGAAUCCGCUAAGGACUGUGUAACAACUCACCUGCCGAAUGUACUAGCCCUGAAAAUGGAUGGCGCUCAAGCGUACCGCCCAUACCCCGCCCUCAGGGUAGAAACGAUGCCCUGAGGAGUAGGCGGCCGUGGAGGUCAGUGACGAAGCCUAGGGCGUGAGCCCGGGUCGA
Molecule: ribosomal RNA, 1346 nt
Filed under: Cryphonectria nitschkei
Lineage: Eukaryota; Fungi; Ascomycota; Sordariomycetes; Diaporthales; Cryphonectriaceae
Description: eukaryotic LSU rRNA
Rfam family: Eukaryotic large subunit ribosomal RNA
Source: RNAcentral